RNAcentral lists this ribosomal RNA (252 nucleotides) under uncultured bacterium. RNAcentral's name for it is "partial 16S ribosomal RNA". It matches the Rfam family "Bacterial small subunit ribosomal RNA", at positions 524 to 776 of the family's 1533-position model. The record is from RNAcentral.
UACGGAGGAUGCGAGCGUUAUCCGGAUUUAUUGGGUUUAAAGGGUGCGUAGGCGGAUCGUUAAGUCAGUGGUCAAAUUGAGGGGCUCAACCCCUUCCCGCCAUUGAAACUGGCGAUCUUGAGUGGAAGAGAAGUAUGCGGAAUGCGUGGUGUAGCGGUGAAAUGCAUAGAUAUCACGCAGAACCCCGAUUGCGAAGGCAGCAUGCCGGCUUCCUACUGACGCUGAAGCACGAAAGCGUGGGGAUCGAACAGC